GCUUCGGGAGGGGCCUGCGUCCGAUUAGCUCGUUGGUGGGGUAAUGGCUCACCAAGGCGACGAUCGGUAGGUGGUCUGAGAGGACGAUCACCCAGACUGGGACUGAGACACGGCCCAGACUCCUACGGGAGGCAGCAGUCGGGAAUUUUGCUCAAUGGGCGAAAGCCUGAAGCAGCAACGCCGCGUGAGGGAUGAAUGCCUUCGGGUUGUAAACCUCUUUUAUCAGGGAAGAUAAUGACGGUACCUGAUGAAUAAGUCACGGCUAACUACGUGCCAGCAGCCGCGGUAAUACGUAGGUGACUAGCGUUGUCCGGAUUUACUGGGCGUAAAGAGCGCGCAGGCGGUCGUUCAAGUCGAGUGUGAAAGCCCCCGGCUCAACUGGGGAGGGUCACUUGAUACUGAUCGACUGGAAGGCAGGAGAGGGAAGCGGAAUUCCCGGUGUAGUGGUGAAAUGCGUAGAUAUCGGGAGGAACACCAGUGCGAAGGCGGCUUCCUGGCCUGUUCUUGACGCUGAGGCGCGAAAGCUAGGGGAGCAAACGGGAUUAGAUACCCCGGUAGUCCUAGCCGUAAACGAUGGACACUAGGUGUUGGUGGUAUCUACCCCACCAGUGCCGAAGCUAACGCAUUAAGUGUCCCGCCUGGGGAGUACGGCCGCAAGGCUAAAACUCAAAGGAAUUGACGGGGCCCCGCACAAGCAGCGGAGCGUGGGGUUUAAUUCGAUACAACGCGAAGAACCUUACCAGGGCUUGACAUGACCAGGAAUCCGGCGGAAACGUCGGCGCCCCGCAAGGGGCCUGGCCACAGGUGUUGCAUGGCUGUCGUCAGCUCGUGUCGUGAGAUGUUGGGUUAAGUCCCGCAACGAGCGCAACCCCUACUGUGUGUUGUAUCACUCACACGGGUCUGCCGAGAGAAACUCGGAGGAAGGCGGGGAUGACGUCAAGUCAGCAUGGCCCUUACGUCCUGGGCUACACCCACGCUACAAUGGCCGGUACAACGGGCGGCGAAACCGCGAGGUGGAGCAAAUCCCUUAAAGCCGGUCUCAGUUCGGGUUGUAGGCUGCAACUCGCCUACAUGAAGCCGGAGUUGCUAGUAACCGCCGGUCAGCAUACGGCGGUGAAUAUGUUCCCGGGGCUUGUACACACCGCCCGUCACGUCAUGAAAGCUGGCAACACCCGAAGCCGGUGGGCCAACCCGCAAGGGAGACAGCCGUCGAA
This 1214-nucleotide ribosomal RNA is filed under the name metagenome. RNAcentral's name for it is "bacterial SSU rRNA". It matches the Rfam family "Bacterial small subunit ribosomal RNA", at positions 217 to 1460 of the family's 1533-position model. The record is from RNAcentral.